UUGUGAUGUCCAGGGGCUUGUACUACGAAGCAGGAUUUGGGGUUAGCGAGAUAUCUUCAGGUUAAAAAUCUUGAAUUGUUGGGAUUUGAGUCUUGUGCCUUGGUAAUUUUCUUCCUGUGUGUUUUGCUGCGCUGCUGAAUGCUCUGCAUUUUCAGGCUGGGCAGGGCCAUGGUCGAGGAGGACUCACUCGCUCUCCACCGCAUGAUAAUCAGCGCUCCUAUUAAACCGGCUUCUCCCCGUGAUGCGGCGCCAGAGGAUUCACUCCCCUACGAGCGAGCCUCCUCAGCCUGACGUCUCCCCAGCCCAGCCAUCUCGAGUCAGUCACCAGCAGCAGCCCUUCGAUUUUCCCCCACUGGAUCCAAGCACCACGAGCACCCUCUCGCCGGAACAUGGAUUCCUCCCCUGCACUGGAGCACACUGCUGGAGCCCCCAUAAGCCCUCUCACUCCUUCCCCACGAAUAAAAACCCUCUUUAUUAUUGA
Long non-coding RNA from Stegastes partitus (bicolor damselfish), 481 nucleotides. RefSeq lists it as uncharacterized. Lineage: Eukaryota; Metazoa; Chordata; Actinopteri; Pomacentridae. The record is from RefSeq and is a predicted model, not a curated record. The transcript has 2 exons.